This 309-nucleotide long non-coding RNA is filed under the name Salvia miltiorrhiza (redroot sage). RNAcentral's name for it is "long non-coding RNA (SMIL_LNC003461)". The record is from RNAcentral. Lineage: Eukaryota; Viridiplantae; Streptophyta; Magnoliopsida; Lamiales; Lamiaceae.
UUCUUUCUUAUGAGUCACUAAAUAAUUAAGCCAAGGCCUGUUUUGACUUUCUUUUUGGCCCAGUGAUGCAUGUCUAAUUUGAACUUCAUACCAUUGAUUAUUUGAGGAAGUUAAGUUGUGUUCUUAUAUUCUGUUUGCCCAAACUGCUGUAUGUGUUAAGUGAUAAUGAUCUGUGAUCCGUUGGGCCAAACAGUGGCGUUGAGCAGUUGAGUUUUUGGAGAUGAGAGCAGUUCGGGAGAUACAUUGUGGGGAAUAUUUUGUGGAUUAUGAUCGCAUGUUGAGUAUAUAAAAAAGAAAGGUGCCGAAUAA